UCCCCGCUACGGCUUCCGAUUUUAUAGAGCCUCCGAACCCUUCGUAAUCUCAAAUAUACACAAUAUAUAUAAUAUAAUGUAGAAAGACUUUUUACAUUAGUUUAGUUCAGUAUCUCCUAAACUAAGCUUCUUUCUGGCUCCAUCCCUGACACUAAGCACGCAGCAGCAAAUUCUGGAGGCAACAAGCUCAGAGGGGAAAAGGAUCAAACAGAAGACCGCAUGCAGGGCAUACUUUUAAGUUGCCACAUCCUAGUGGCCUAUCGAGAUACCAUCGAAGACAAGAAAUAACGUUAACCAAAAAAAUUAUUAAAGCUUAUUCAGUUAUAAUCACAUAUGGAUUGAAUACGAUUAGAAAAAAAUGUGAAAGAUUUAGACUUAUUUAGGAUUUAAAGACACUCAAGUACAUCCAAUCCACACGGAUUUAGAGCAAAACGAAAAACCUUAUCAAGACGUUAGGCUGAUGGUUUAGGAAGAUCGGAGCGGAGCACAUCGAGCCUAUGGUCGGUAUGUGGUUAUGAUUGUAGAAAAAAAAAGAGAUAUAUAUAAGCCCGUUUAGCAGGGCUUCCACACACCGGCUUAAGCUACAACUUUACGUUAAAAUACACAGCAUCAACAUCUCCAAAUGACUAGUUAAAUGGCUCAUCAAGUCAAAAUUUAUCUACUCAACAGCAAAAUAAAUGUUGGACUGUAGAUGCUACAUAUAGAAUAUAAUCUUUAUAAAAAUGUAAAUAGAGAGUUAAAAAUUAAGAGUGGUUUAAAGUCGUACCAAACGUCCAACCACAUUUUGACAUAGGCCUUUUGGUAAAAAAACCUUUUCUAUUACAUCGGUAAAACCUAAAAAGAGUGGCUUAACCAGACAUGUUUUAUUUUGCAAAACAGCCUAGAAGUCUGUCUCGAAAAAAAGCUGCUUGCACGGAAAGCCCAAGCCAAAGAGUCCCGUAAUACUGUAAGAAGCACAAUCGAAAGUAGAAAGCCGAAAACCAGUUCUGGAUCCCCAGGCGCAAAGAGAAUACUCAGAAACUACAGUAUACACCAACACUGGAAGCAGAACAAUCGAGCAAAGAGAAAGGUAACCAAAGAAACUUCAUGCAUUGGAUGCAAUUCAACCAUUCCAAACCAACUUAUUGAUAAUUAAUACUAGAAAGUAGAGAGACAUGAAAGCAUAGAAAAUACAGGGUCCAGAAUGUAACCACAGAUAAUGAUAAGUCAGGUAGGUACGACACCCAGCAACCCCUUGCACGCUAUAGCAAAAGCCAGCUCAAGCCAGGUGAAUGUCUCGGUAGCAAUCCUUUGGUGAUACACUUCUUUUCCGAUUUAAGUUGAGAUAGAGUAGGGUUCCGUCUCCAAAGCCAAGGAAGUUACUUGGGGCCAACAUCCUUCAGCGCGCAGAUCUGCUCCUCCC
Molecule: long non-coding RNA, 1402 nt
Filed under: Zea mays
Lineage: Eukaryota; Viridiplantae; Streptophyta; Magnoliopsida; Poales; Poaceae
Description: long non-coding RNA (ZMAY_LNC001276)
Source: RNAcentral